AUUGAACGCUGGCGGCAGGCCUAACACAUGCAAGUCGAGCGGCAGCGGGAAAGUAGCUUGCUACUUUUGCCGGCGAGCGGCGGACGGGUGAGUAAUGCCUGGGGAUCUGCCCAGUCGAGGGGGAUAACAGUUGGAAACGACUGCUAAUACCGCAUACGCCCUACGGGGGAAAGGAGGGGACCUUCGGGCCUUUCGCGAUUGGAUGAACCCAGGUGGGAUUAGCUAGUUGGUGGGGUAAUGGCUCACCAAGGCGACGAUCCCUAGCUGGUCUGAGAGGAUGAUCAGCCACACUGGAACUGAGACACGGUCCAGACUCCUACGGGAGGCAGCAGUGGGGAAUAUUGCACAAUGGGGGAAACCCUGAUGCAGCCAUGCCGCGUGUGUGAAGAAGGCCUUCGGGUUGUAAAGCACUUUCAGCGAGGAGGAAAGGUUGUUGGCUAAUACCCAGCAACUGUGACGUUACUCGCAGAAGAAGCACCGGCUAACUCCGUGCCAGCAGCCGCCGUAA
RNAcentral lists this ribosomal RNA (508 nucleotides) under uncultured bacterium. Its description in RNAcentral is "partial 16S ribosomal RNA". It matches the Rfam family "Bacterial small subunit ribosomal RNA", at positions 30 to 523 of the family's 1533-position model. The record is from RNAcentral.